Molecule: unclassified non-coding RNA, 253 nt
Filed under: uncultured Chloroflexota bacterium
Lineage: Bacteria; Bacillati; Chloroflexota
Description: uncultured Chloroflexi bacterium contains 16S-23S intergenic spacer region
Rfam family: Bacterial small subunit ribosomal RNA
Source: RNAcentral
UACGUAGGGGGCGAGCGUUGUCCGGAUUCAUUGGGCGUAAAGGGCGCGUAGGCGGCCGGCUCGGUCGCGCGUGAAAUCCCCCGGCUCAACCGGGGGGGGCCGCGCGAUACCGGCGGGCUGGAGGCCGGCAGGGGGGAGUGGAAUUCCCGGUGUAGUGGUGGAAUGCGUAGAGAUCGGGAGGAACACCGGUGGCGAAGGCGACUCCCUGGGCCGGUCCUGACGCUGAGGCGCGAAAGCGUGGGGAGCGAUCCGG